Molecule: long non-coding RNA, 345 nt
Organism: Exaiptasia diaphana
Lineage: Eukaryota; Metazoa; Cnidaria; Anthozoa; Actiniaria; Aiptasiidae
Exons: 2
Source: RefSeq, a predicted model, not a curated record
AAUAUGGAAAUCAAUUGCUUUAUACUGCUAUCACUGUAGAAACAGGUUUGACGAUAAGUAAACUGGGAUACCUAGAAGGGAUAAAAGUCAUAAACGCGUGGGAAAAUUUCAUAAAAGAAAAGAUGAAAGAUUUUCCUCCAUCCUGUCAAAAUGCGUUUCCUACAACACCUGAGAACCUCAACCCUUGGCACUGGAUUAAAGUACAGGAGGUAUGCAAUCAAAGAGUCUCAUGAGCCACUUACAUUAUUUUGUAUUAUAAUUCGUAGAGAGGUAUUUUAUGUAGAUAUAGAAUAGGAUGUAGAACAGGAUUUUACUGAUAGAGUGGAAAUAAAGGGCGAAAAGAGA